UGAUCAGAAGCCCUAAGCACCCCAAAAUGACCUGCCUCAAAGCCUUGCCCAGCCCUCAUCUCGUCUCCUCUCUAUGGUUGUACUUUGUCUGAAGCCCUGAAUCUGAACCUGUGAACUAAGAAGGCAAGAACUCUAGUUGUACUAUGUUUGAAGCUCUGAAUCUUGUCUCCUCUCUGUGGUUGUCUCGUCUUAGCGUCUUUGAUCUUCCUUCUUUCCUCUUUAAGCUUGGAGGGUCUCGUUUCACCUGCUGUCGUGUGUCGUCCUUAGGAGCUUUAACGGUCAACUUAGGUAGCUACUCUCUUUCUCCCUCCGCUUGAUUCAGGUAUGGCUUCUCUCUCUCCCCUCUUCAAGCUUUAUGUUGCUCAUUGUUGCUAUUGCUCUAUCUCUUCAAGCUUCAUUUAUGAUCUGCGUACUAUAUUCUGAUUUACUCUAUACCUAUUAUUACUUUGUAUCUUUGAAAUCUGCUACUCUAUACUCUUAGAGUAGUAUGUGUUCGAGCUUCAUUUUAGUUGAAAUUAGUCUAAGGAGUGUUUGUUCGAGCUUCACUUCUUGAAAUUAAAUUAAUUGAAAUUAAAUUGCUCUGUAUGUUCGAGCUUUACUUCUUGAAUCUGCACUCUGUUGGCAUGUCUGCUUUAAUCUACACACUUGUUGAAUCUACUCUGCUGGCAUGUUCGAGCUUUACAUUUUUUUGUAUUAGAUAUUUAUUUAUGUUGACAUUAUUAUAGCUUGCAGAUUAAAGCUAUAACAUAGAUAUUGUAAAUAAUUAUAGUAGUGAAGGAACUGAGAAUCCCACUCCUAAUUCCAAUAAUCCUACUCCCAAUUCCAACAAUCCCACCCUUAAUUCCAUUAACCCCCUGCAAGUCAUAAUGACUCCGCAUCUAGAACCCCAUCAGUUCGUGGGAAAAAAGAUCCUGCAUGGGCACAUGUUGCCUUAAGAAAAGAGGGCAACAAAAAUGUGUAUAUAUGUCUUUAUUGUGCAUUGAGCUAUAAAGGAGGUGGAAUAAAUAAAUUGAAGCAUCAUCUUGCUAGUGUAAGUAAAAAUGUAGUUUCUUGCAACAAAGUUCCUUUUGAUGUUCGUCAUCAGAUGCAAGAAUCAUUGAAAAGUGGGGAAAAGAGAAAGCUUGCUGUUGUACAAGCAGACAUGGGGCAACAUGUGUCUAAUGCUAAUAAACCCAGUGCACCUACUCCAUCUAAGUCAAUCCCUAAGAGUAGUGCUAGUUAAAAAAAAACCUCCUACUAUUCUAGUUGAAAAUUAUUUCGCUUCUAAGACAACUUUAGGUUCUUAACCAGGCAUUAAGAGUGCAUUUGCAACUAAAGAAGCAUAACACAAUGCAAAAAUGGCCAUUGCUGAAUGGGCUAUCAUCAAUUGCAUUCCAUUAAAUGCAUUAGAUUGCCAUUUCUUUCAAAAAGCUGUAGAUGCUAUUGCUUCAAUUAGGCCGAGGUUUAAGGAUCUUAAUACUUAUGAAUUUAAAGUUAACUUGUUGAAUGAUUGGAAAAAAGAAUGUGAGCUACUUAUUGAGAGUCAUCGAUGUAAAUGGAAAACUUAUGGAUGCACAUUCAUUGCUGAUGGUUGGACAGAGGUAAGGCAACGAACUUUGAUAAAUUUUCUUGUCUAUUCUAUACAUGGCAUAGUAUUUGUGAAAUCUAUUGAUGCUUCUGAUUUAGUGAAAGAUGCCAAGACUUUAUUCUCAUUGUUUUCUAAAGUGAUUGAGUGGGUUGGUCCCAAAAAUAUUAUGCAUGUGACUGAUAAUGCUGCUAAUUAUAUAGCAUGUAGCAAAUUGAUUAAAGAUAAAUAUAAAAGUAUUUAUUGGUCACCUUGUGCUGCUCAUUGCUUGAAUCUCACUUUGAAAGACAUUGCAAGCAUGUCUCAUGUGUCACAACUUGUAACAAAGGCAUCAAAGAUCACUAUAUUUGUUUAUAAUUAUAUGGUCUUCUUGUCAUGGCUUAGGAAAAGAAAGGGUUGGAAAGAAAUUAUGCGUCCCAGUGUGACAAGGUUUGCUACAACAUUUAUCACAUUGCAUAGCAUAUAUAUGCACAAGCAUGAUUUGCAAGCUUUAAUCACUGAUAAGUAUUUUGUGGAUCACAAAUUAUCAAGGACCGAAGCCGGAAUAAUUGUUAGUGCCAUCAUAUUAGAUAAUUAGUUUUGGAAUGAAUGUCUUGAAAUUGUGAAGAUUGUGUCUCCUCUCAUAAAAUUGUUGAGAAUUGUUGAUUUAGAUGAGAAGCCUUUUUUGCCUUAUGUUAUGAAGGCAUGCAAAAGGAAAAAAAAGCAAUUAAGGCAAUUUUCAACAAUAAGAAGGAUCAAUACAAGCCUUACACAGACAUUAUUCAAGCCCGAUGAGAUAAGCACUUGAAGACCACUCUUCAUGCAGCAGCAUAUUUGUUGAACCUUGCCUUCUUGUAUGAUGAUGACUUUGUUCACAAGAGAAGGUUAAUGGAUGCUAUGCUUUCAGUGUUUGAGUCAACUGAAAAUGAAGAUGUUGAUUAUAUUGUGAUGAUGAAGCAAUUGAGCUUGUAUCGUGAUCGUAAAGAAUCUUUUGAUAAAGCUUCAUGUCAUAGAGCAGCACAGAAACUAAACCCUUAUGAAUGAUGGUCAUUUUAUGGAAGUUCUGUUCCAAAGUUGCAAAAUCUUGCAAUGUGUAUUCUUAGCCAAACUUCUUCUUCCUCUAGUUGUGAGAGAAAUUGCAGCUUGUUUGAACGCAUCCAUACCAAAAGAAGAAAUAGAUUGGAACAUCAAAGACUAAAUGAUUUAAUCUUUGCAAACUACAAUCUACAAUUGAAGCAUAGGAAAAAAUGAAAGUUAUGAAUGUUUUUAAUAAAUAUGAAUUUUAUUACUAUUUUAUGGUAGAUAUAUACUUAUAUUUGAUUGCUUUGACCUCAUCAAAGGAGCUAAUUGAAGAAAAAGACAAGUUUUAAUCCAAUUGAUUAUGAAUCUAUUGACAAAUUGGACUUUUGGAUUGUUGAAGAGGAACAAGAGCCAGCUCUAGAGUUUGAUGCGGAUAAUGUCACUAAUAUGGAAAGUGCUAUGCAUAAUGAAAAUGUUGUUGCUUCAUUAGCUUUUGAGAGAAAUAAUGAAGGUGAAGAAGAUAUCAAUAUUCUAGAGCAUCCACAUUUGAUUGAUGAUGUUGGAAGUGGUUUAGGUUUCUCUCAAUCAUCUCCUAAUGUUUCAAUCCCUACUCCUGGAGAUUUGAAUGAAAUUAAUGAAGAUUUUAGUGUUAAUUAUUAUUAGCUUUAGACUUUUUGAUGAUUAAAGGACUGUAAUGAUGAAUAUUUUAAAUGUUGUAUUUUUAAUGAUGUUUUGAUGAUUGUGUUAGAC
Molecule: long non-coding RNA, 3313 nt
Organism: Prosopis cineraria
Lineage: Eukaryota; Viridiplantae; Streptophyta; Magnoliopsida; Fabales; Fabaceae
Exons: 3
Source: RefSeq, a predicted model, not a curated record